UUUUGACCUCAAAUCAGGUAGGACUACCCGCUGAACUUAAGCAUAUCAAUAAGCGGAGGAAAAGAAACUAACGAGGAUUCCCUUAGUAACUGCGAGUGAAGCGGGAAAAGCUCAAAUUUAAAAUCUGGCAGCGUUUGGUUGUCCGAGUUGUAACCUAGAGAAGUGCAGCCUGUGCUGGACCAUGUAUAAGUCUCCUGGAACGGAGUGUCACAGAGGGUGAGAAUCCCGUGUUUGACAUGGACUGCCAGUGCAUUGUGGCGUGCUCUCAAA
RNAcentral lists this ribosomal RNA (270 nucleotides) under Amanita curtipes. Its description in RNAcentral is "partial 28S ribosomal RNA". It matches the Rfam family "Eukaryotic large subunit ribosomal RNA", at positions 1 to 261 of the family's 3401-position model. The record is from RNAcentral. Lineage: Eukaryota; Fungi; Basidiomycota; Agaricomycetes; Agaricales; Amanitaceae.